RNAcentral lists this ribosomal RNA (834 nucleotides) under Triticum aestivum (bread wheat). RNAcentral describes it as "partial small subunit ribosomal RNA". The record is from RNAcentral. Lineage: Eukaryota; Viridiplantae; Streptophyta; Magnoliopsida; Poales; Poaceae.
CUUUAUUCCAUCGUCAUACACACCAUACAGGGUUUAGUACAAGACCAAACAAAGUACUAUUACGGUGAAAAAGGAUUACAUCUCAUCGGAGGCAUACCAAGCUCCUAUACAUUAUUUUUCUACACCUCCGGAAGGAGUACAAACUAGGUCAUAUCCCACGAGUCACGCAGGACGAUAGACGACACAGCUAGUGCGAACUAGUGAUACUACCACUAACUCAGACCGAUCCGUAGUAGUCCUCGUAAAAGUCACCUCCAUAGCCUGGAAGUUCCACAUGAUCAUCCGGAAACAGACGGUCUCGCGGAGCUUGUGGACCAUAGGUGAGCGCAUGCUCCAGUGUUGAGAUGAUUCUUGGUGUUCUUGGUUGGUCUGCUGGGUGUAGUUAUAAUCCGCUUGGUGUUCUUGAGUGCUAGUGUAGUCGUGAUGCACAGUUGACCUUCAUCUCCACUGAAGCUGAGACAAUUUUGGAAGCACCAAUGGAUGAAAUGUUUUGGGAGCAGUCAGGUCUCAGUUCCCUUUACUUUGUCAAAGCAGGCAGAGUGAAGGCAGAUGAAACUAGAACCAGAUGUUACCACGCUUCAUUUGGAAGCGAGAGUGUACAUAGCUGAGCGAGUAGUAUACUGUUAGUGCAGGGAUUGGCUGGGUUUAUACAGAAAAAGGCCUCCGUGAAUGACCAAAUAAAGGCUGGUUUCUUCUCUCUUUUUUACCCUUCUGAGGGUUGCAUAUACUAGUUGUGUAAUUGAAUGUGCAGCUACAGUUUUUACCUGGAAUCUCAGUGUCCCAAAAUGUUGACCCUAUUUGGAUACUCGGUGUCAUGAAUCUCCUUUCUUACCC